RNAcentral lists this ribosomal RNA (245 nucleotides) under uncultured bacterium. Its description in RNAcentral is "partial small subunit ribosomal RNA". It matches the Rfam family "Bacterial small subunit ribosomal RNA", at positions 27 to 285 of the family's 1533-position model. The record is from RNAcentral.
GGAAUCAACGCUGGCGGCGUGCCUAACACAUGCAAGUCGAACGAGAAAGUGGAGCAAUCCAUGAGUAAAGUGGCGCACGGGUGAGUAACACGUGACUAACCUACCCUUGAGUGGGGGAUAACCUCGGGAAACCGGGGCUAAUACCGCAUAAUAUCGAGAGAUCAAAGGAGCAAUUCGCUUAAGGAGGGGGUCGCGGCUGAUUAGCUAGUUGGUAGGGUAAUGGCCUACCAAGGCUAUGAUCAGUA